GAUGAACGCUGGCGGCGUGCCUAAUACAUGCAAGUCGAGCGAACAGACGAGGCGCUUGCUCCUCUGACGUUAGCGGCGGACGGGUGAGUCACACGUGGAUAACCUACCUAUAAGACUGGGAUCACUUCGGGAAACCGGCGCUAAUCCCGGAUAAUAUAUUGAACCGCAUGGUUCAAUAGUGAAAGACGGUUUUGCUGUCACUACUCGAUGGAUCUGAGCCGCAUUAGCUAGUUGGUAAGGUCACGGCUUACCAAGGCGACGAUGCGUAGCCGACCUGAGAGAGGGGUCGGCCACACUGGAACGGAGACACGGUCCAGACUCCUACGGGAGGCAGCAGUAGGGAAUCGUACGCAAUGGGCGAAAGCCUGGCGGAACGACGCCGCGUGAGUGAUGAAGGUCUUCGGAGCGUAAAACUCGGUUAUUAGUGAAGAACAAAUUUGUAAGUAGCUAUGCACGUCGUGACGGUACCGAGUCAGAAAGCCACGGCUAACUACGUG
Molecule: ribosomal RNA, 497 nt
Filed under: uncultured bacterium
Lineage: Bacteria
Description: partial 16S ribosomal RNA
Rfam family: Bacterial small subunit ribosomal RNA
Source: RNAcentral